RNAcentral lists this ribosomal RNA (1412 nucleotides) under Thermococcus sp. CIR10. RNAcentral's name for it is "16S ribosomal RNA". It matches the Rfam family "Archaeal small subunit ribosomal RNA". The record is from RNAcentral. Lineage: Archaea; Methanobacteriati; Methanobacteriota; Thermococci; Thermococcales; Thermococcaceae.
GCGGACGGCUCAGUAACACGUCGAUAACCUACCCUCGGGAAAGGGAUAACCCCGGGAAACUGGGGCUAAUCCCCCAUAGGUGUGGGGUACUGGAAGGUCCCCACACCGAAAGGGGCUUCGUGCCCGCCCGAGGAUGGGCCGGCGGCCGAUUAGGUAGUUGGUGGGGUAACGGCCCACCAAGCCGAAGAUCGGUACGGGCCAUGAGAGUGGGAGCCCGGAGAUGGACACUGAGACACGGGUCCAGGCCCUACGGGGCGCAGCAGGCGCGAAACCUCCGCAAUGCGGGAAACCGCGACGGGGGGACCCCCAGUGCCGUGGCAACGCCACGGCUUUUCCGGAGUGUAAAAAGCUCCGGGAAUAAGGGCUGGGCAAGGCCGGUGGCAGCCGCCGCGGUAAUACCGGCGGCCCGAGUGGUGGCCGCUAUUAUUGGGCCUAAAGCGUCCGUAGCCGGGCCCGUAAGUCCCUGGCGAAAUCCCACGGCUCAACCGUGGGGCUUGUUGGGGAUACUGCGGGCCUUGGGACCGGGAGAGGCGGGGGGUACCCCUGGGGUAGGGGUGAAAUCCUAUAAUCCCAGGGGGACCGCCAGUGGCGAAGGCGCCCCGCUGGAACGUGUCCGACGGUGAGGGACGAAGGCCAGGGGAGCGAACCGGAUUAGAUACCCGGGUAGUCCUGGCUGUAAAGGAUGCGGGCUAGGUGUCGGGCGAGCUCCGAGCUCGCCCGGUGCCGUAGGGAAGCCGUUAAGCCCGCCGCCUGGGGAGUACGGCCGCAAGGCUGAAACUUAAAGGAAUUGGCGGGGGAGCACUACAAGGGGUGGAGCGUGCGGUUUAAUUGGAUUCAACGCCGGGAACCUCACCGGGGGCGACGGCAGGAUGAAGGCCAGGCUGAAGGUCUUGCCGGACACGCCGAGAGGAGGUGCAUGGCCGCCGUCAGCUCGUACCGUGAGGCGUCCACUUAAGUGUGGUAACGAGCGAGACCCGCGCCCCCAGUUGCCAGUCCCUCCCGUAGGGAGGGAGGCACUCUGGGGGGACCGCCGGCGAUAAGCCGGAGGAAGGAGCGGGCGACGGUAGGUCAGUAUGCCCCGAAACCCCCGGGCUACACGCGCGCUACAAUGGGCGGGACAAUGGGAUCCGACCCCGAAAGGGGAAGGGAAUCCCCUAAACCCGCCCUCAGUUCGGAUCGCGGGCUGCAACUCGCCCGCGUGAAGCUGGAAUCCCUAGUACCCGCGUGUCAUCAUCGCGCGGCGAAUACGUCCCUGCUCCUUGCACACACCGCCCGUCACUCCACCCGAGCGGGGUCCGGAUGAGGCCCCGUCGCCGGCUCUGGCCGGAUGGCGGGGUCGAGUCCGGGCUCCGUGAGGGGGGAGAAGUCGUAACAAGGUAGCCGUAGGGGAACCUACGGCUCGAUCACCUCCU